AACGAACGCUGGCGGCAUGCCUAACACAUGCAAGUCGAACGAGGCCUUCGGGUCUAGUGGCGCACGGUUGCGUAACGCGUGGGAACCUGCCCUUAGGUUCGGAAUAACUCCCCGAAAGGGGUGCUAAUACCGGAUAAUGUCUUCGGACCAAAGAUUUAUCGCCUUUGGAUGGGCCCGCGUUGGAUUAGCUAGUUGGUAGGGUAAAAGCCUACCAAGGCGACGAUCCAUAGCUGGUCUGAGAGGAUGAUCAGCCACACUGGGACUGAGACACGGCCCAGACUCCUACGGGAGGCAGCAGUGGGGAAUAUUGGACAAUGGGCGAAAGCCUGAUCCAGCAAUGCCGCGUGAGUGAUGAAGGCCUUAGGGUUGUAAAGCUCUUUUACCCGGGAUGAUAAUGACAGUACCGGGAGAAUAAGCUCCGGCUAACUCCGUG
This 433-nucleotide ribosomal RNA is filed under the name uncultured bacterium. RNAcentral's name for it is "partial 16S ribosomal RNA". It matches the Rfam family "Bacterial small subunit ribosomal RNA", at positions 29 to 507 of the family's 1533-position model. The record is from RNAcentral.